Molecule: non-coding RNA, 293 nt
Organism: Stentor coeruleus
Lineage: Eukaryota; Ciliophora; Heterotrichea; Heterotrichida; Stentoridae
Source: Rfam
UCUGAAGAGGGUAGCGACUCUUUGUAACACAAGUGUGGGACUUGGCUGACUGGCGGCAUGUAAGGGUCAUUGUGGUUUUCCACUUACGGGGUAUGUCGAGAGUCUGUCCUAGCCAUAUCAGGGGUCGUGGGUGUGAAUAUCUGGAAGGGUAGACACGCUCAUGUUAAAGAGGGGGGGAACGCUUGAGGCUGGAAACAGAGCAGAGAUAACUCCCCGUCCUUGAUUAUGGAAGGAUCGCAGAUUUGAGUACUCUAGGUUAACCAUGUGAAACCUGCAGGUCCACAGAAGGCUUU